AAUGAAUGUUUUAAUUAAAUAAUUUAAAUUUUUUGUGAUUGCACAAUAAGUCUUCUAAACGAAGAAAUGUUGAAGACGUACUGUUUGAAAUUAAAAAAAAGUGUAAAUGGGCCUCGACUAAAGAUACCAGGAGGUUGAAUACUACAACAACGAACAGGAGAAGAUGUGUACCUAUAUGAUGUACCAGAGCACUGGAAUGAUUACAAGCAGGCUGCCACAUAUAGCAUGCAGAGUUAAAUUACCCUUCAUAUUUGGGAGUGAGAUGCUAAACAUACCAAAUAGCAAUCAUUGCACUCUAACAAGAGUAUCCUUAACCCUUUCAGUUCACCUCAAUAUGGAUACGUACAGGUUUUCUCGUAUUCAUAAGUUAAUAUUAAAUGUCUUUCCAAGAAAAUUGCUUACCAAGUGAGUACCAAGAACUACUUCCUCAACCCAUAGAAGAAAUUGGUCAGACUAAUUGAUGUACUAAGACACUAAAAUUAUUGGCAUACUGCUAAGAUUACAGAAUUAAUUUCUUUUCGCACCACAAAGCACCAGGACUUCUAAAUAACUGCCAGGAGGAUAUGCAUAUUUAAAGGUUUUUAUCCUAUUAUUGUUAAUUUAAUCUUAUUAUUAGUUAUGAACAUUUAUUCUUUUAUUAAUAUAAC
Ctenocephalides felis (cat flea) is the source of this 647-nucleotide long non-coding RNA. RefSeq lists it as uncharacterized. NCBI's taxonomy places the organism in Eukaryota, Metazoa, Arthropoda, Insecta, Siphonaptera, Pulicidae. The record is from RefSeq and is a predicted model, not a curated record. The transcript has 5 exons.